UGCCAGCCGCCGCGGUAAUACGAAGGGAGCGAGCGUUGUCCGGAAUUACUGGGCGUAAAGAGCAUGUAGGCGGCUUUAUCAGUUGGGUGUGAAAUCCCGGGGCUCAACCCCGGAACUGCAUCCAAUACUGUAAAGCUAGAGACCGAGAGAGGAAAAUGGAAUUACGAGUGUAGAGGUGAAAUUCGUAGAUAUUCGUAGGAACACCAGAGGCGAAGGCGAUUUUCUGGCUCGGUACUGACGCUCAGAUGCGAAAGCGUGGGGAGCAAACAGGAUUAGAUA
RNAcentral lists this ribosomal RNA (279 nucleotides) under uncultured bacterium. Its description in RNAcentral is "partial 16S ribosomal RNA". It matches the Rfam family "Bacterial small subunit ribosomal RNA", at positions 506 to 784 of the family's 1533-position model. The record is from RNAcentral.